Molecule: ribosomal RNA, 116 nt
Filed under: Clostridioides difficile
Lineage: Bacteria; Bacillati; Bacillota; Clostridia; Peptostreptococcales; Peptostreptococcaceae
Description: partial 23S ribosomal RNA
Rfam family: Bacterial large subunit ribosomal RNA
Source: RNAcentral
CCACCUCAAGGGUAAGACCCCAGAAAGACUAUCUGGUUGAUAGGUCGAAGGUGUAAGUGCAGCAAUGUAUUUAGCUUAUCGAUACUAAUAGGUCGAGGACUUGACCAAUAUUUAUU